Molecule: ribosomal RNA, 244 nt
Filed under: uncultured bacterium
Lineage: Bacteria
Description: partial 16S ribosomal RNA
Rfam family: Bacterial small subunit ribosomal RNA
Source: RNAcentral
CCUACGGGAGGCAGCAGUGGGGAAUAUUGGACAAUGGGGGCAACCCUGAUCCAGCAAUGCCGCGUGUGUGAACGAAGGCCUGCGGAGUUGUAAAGCUACUUUCAGUAGAGAAGAAAAGCUUACGGUUAAUACCUGUGAGUCUUGAACGUAACCUACAGAAGAAGCACCGGCUAACUCCGUGCCAGCAGCCGCGGUAAUACGGAGGGUGCAAGCGUUAAUCGGAAUUACUGGGCGUAAAGCGCGC